Molecule: long non-coding RNA, 360 nt
Filed under: Physcomitrium patens
Lineage: Eukaryota; Viridiplantae; Streptophyta; Bryopsida; Funariales; Funariaceae
Description: long non-coding RNA (PPAT_LNC000547)
Source: RNAcentral
AAUAUCCUCUUACAAAAAUUUCACUCCAAUCCAACUAGUAGUUUGUAAGAAAUCUUAAAAAUCCCCACUAGACCUAAAAUUCUACUUUCUGAGACCUUGACCCACUUGAACCUCAAUAUUCCUCAACUCAACCGUUAGAUCAAUUUCGAAUUUAUAAUACAUAUUGAACAAAACUAUAUCCAUAAACCCACAAAUUUUCAUCCAUAGAUCUAUUAUAAAAAUCUUGAAAUCAUCCAAAACGUAAACCCUAUUUUAUUUCAUAAAAUCCAAGUCAUCAGAAACAAACCUUGACUUUGCAAAGCUCUUGUUAAGUAAUAACAACUCCAAAUCAUCCAAAAUCAAUGCCUAUAGAAACCUUAU